UGCUCCGGUGGCCUAAGUGAUUAGAGCGCCCGCCUCGGAUGCGGGACGUUGCGGGUUCGAACCCUGACCUCGUCAU
This is a non-coding RNA of Potamilus streckersoni, 76 nucleotides long. The record is from the annotation of a GenBank genome assembly. Lineage: Eukaryota; Metazoa; Mollusca; Bivalvia; Unionida; Unionidae.